UACGAAGGGGGCUAGCGUUGCUCGGAAUCACUGGGCGUAAAGCGCACGUAGGCGGCUUUUAAGUCAGGGGUGAAAUCCUGGAGCUCAACUCCAGAACUGCCUUUGAUACUGAGAAGCUUGAGUCCGGGAGAGUGAGUGGAACUGCGAGUGUAGAGGUGAAAUUCGUAGAUAUUCGCAAGAACACCAGUGGCGAAGGCGGCUCACUGGCCCGGUACUGACGCUGAGGUGCGAAAGCUAGGGAGCAACAGG
Molecule: ribosomal RNA, 249 nt
Filed under: uncultured bacterium
Lineage: Bacteria
Description: partial 16S ribosomal RNA
Rfam family: Bacterial small subunit ribosomal RNA
Source: RNAcentral